Molecule: ribosomal RNA, 433 nt
Filed under: uncultured bacterium
Lineage: Bacteria
Description: partial 16S ribosomal RNA
Rfam family: Bacterial small subunit ribosomal RNA
Source: RNAcentral
AACGAACGCUGGCGGCAUGCCUAACACAUGCAAGUCGAACGAGACCUUCGGGUCUAGUGGCGCACGGGUGCGUAACGCGUGGGAACCUGCCCUUAGGUUCGGAAUAACUCCCCGAAAGGGGUGCUAAUACCGGAUAAUGUCUUCGGACCAAAGAUUUAUCGCCUUUGGAUGGGCCCGCGUUGGAUUAGCUAGUUGGUAGGGUAAAAGCCUACCAAGGCGACGAUCCAUAGCUGGUCUGAUAGGAUGAUCAGCCACACUGGGACUGAGACACGGCCCAGACUCCUACGGGAGGCAGCAGUGGGGAAUAUUGGACAAGGGGCGAAAGCCUGAUCCAGCAAUGCCGCGUGAGUGAUGAAGGCCUUAGGGUUGUAAAGCUCUUUUACCCGGGAUGAUAAUGACAGUACCGGGAGAAUAAGCUCCGGCUAACUCCGUG